Molecule: unclassified non-coding RNA, 331 nt
Filed under: soil metagenome
Description: partial contains 5.8S ribosomal RNA, internal transcribed spacer 2, and large subunit ribosomal RNA
Rfam family: 5.8S ribosomal RNA (bases 1-120)
Source: RNAcentral
GAUGAAGAACGCAGCGAAAUGCGAUAAGUAAUGUGAAUUGCAGAAUUCAGUGAAUCAUCGAAUCUUUGAACGCACAUUGCGCCCCCUGGUAUUCCGGGGGGCAUGCCUGUUCGAGCGUCAUUUCACCACUCAAGCCUCGCUUGGUAUUGGGCGACGCGGUCCGCCGCGCGCCUCAAAUCGACCGGCUGGGUCUUCCGUCCCCUCAGCGUUGUGGAAACUAUUCGCUAAAGGGUGCCGCGGGAGGUCACGCCGCAAAACAACCCCAUUUCUAAGGUUGACCUCGGAUCAGGUAGGGAUACCCGCUGAACUUAAGCAUAUCAAUAAGCGGAGA